AGAACUAAAGCUUUUAUAGAAGCGGUGGCUUUUUAAUCCGAGAGAAGGUGAUGGACUCGCCUAGUUCUU
RNAcentral lists this transfer RNA (69 nucleotides) under Mytilisepta keenae. Its description in RNAcentral is "tRNA-Lys". The record is from RNAcentral. Lineage: Eukaryota; Metazoa; Mollusca; Bivalvia; Mytilida; Mytilidae.